RNAcentral lists this ribosomal RNA (646 nucleotides) under Escherichia coli. RNAcentral's name for it is "bacterial SSU rRNA". It matches the Rfam family "Bacterial small subunit ribosomal RNA", at positions 880 to 1526 of the family's 1533-position model. Lineage: Bacteria; Pseudomonadati; Pseudomonadota; Gammaproteobacteria; Enterobacterales; Enterobacteriaceae. The record is from RNAcentral. RNAcentral also lists the same sequence under 2 other names.
GUACGGCCGCAAGGUUAAAACUCAAAUGAAUUGACGGGGGCCCGCACAAGCGGUGGAGCAUGUGGUUUAAUUCGAUGCAACGCGAAGAACCUUACCUGGUCUUGACAUCCACGGAAGUUUUCAGAGAUGAGAAUGUGCCUUCGGGAACCGUGAGACAGGUGCUGCAUGGCUGUCGUCAGCUCGUGUUGUGAAAUGUUGGGUUAAGUCCCGCAACGAGCGCAACCCUUAUCCUUUGUUGCCAGCGGUCCGGCCGGGAACUCAAAGGAGACUGCCAGUGAUAAACUGGAGGAAGGUGGGGAUGACGUCAAGUCAUCAUGGCCCUUACGACCAGGGCUACACACGUGCUACAAUGGCGCAUACAAAGAGAAGCGACCUCGCGAGAGCAAGCGGACCUCAUAAAGUGCGUCGUAGUCCGGAUUGGAGUCUGCAACUCGACUCCAUGAAGUCGGAAUCGCUAGUAAUCGUGGAUCAGAAUGCCACGGUGAAUACGUUCCCGGGCCUUGUACACACCGCCCGUCACACCAUGGGAGUGGGUUGCAAAAGAAGUAGGUAGCUUAACCUUCGGGAGGGCGCUUACCACUUUGUGAUUCAUGACUGGGGUGAAGUCGUAACAAGGUAACCGUAGGGGAACCUGCGGUUGGAUCAC